Cricetulus griseus (Chinese hamster) is the source of this 2357-nucleotide non-coding RNA. The record is from RefSeq and is a predicted model, not a curated record. NCBI's taxonomy places the organism in Eukaryota, Metazoa, Chordata, Mammalia, Rodentia, Cricetidae.
UUCUUUAAGAAGCACUAUAAAAUACUGUCUUACUGUACAAGCAUUGUUUAUUAUGUAAUUGCCCAUUUGUUAAUUGUAAAAACUGCAAUGUUUACUAAAUCCAAAAUCUCUUAUGCUGUUAUCUAAUGAAGGUGUUUGUCAUACCCAAAUGCCACGUGCAUAGGGUCGACCAUCUGCAGGUCAAACACACUUUUAAAUGAAACUCCAUUUGUAGUGAAUAUAUAUGUACAGGCAUCUUUCUUUAUUUUAGAUUUCAUUUUCAUGUGUGUGAGUGUUUUGCUUGCAUGUAUUUUUGUGCAUUAUGUGCAUGCCCAAUGCAAAAUUUCCCUGGAACUGGAGUUACAGACCGUGGUUAGCUGCCAUGUGGAUACUGGAAAUCCAACCUGGGUCUUCUGGAAAAGCAGCCGGUGCUCUUAAAUGCUGAGCCAUCUCUCCAGCCCUCAGACAUUUUCCUUGCCAUUCUCUAACCAAUGUAUAAAAUUAUUUAUAUGUCAUUUACCUUAUAUUUAAUAUAAAUCAUUAUAAAGGUAUUUUAAUUGGGGAAUGCAGUUUUAUAGAGAGACUUGUGUGUGCACUAGUAUCUGAGGGGGUUAAGAAUCAAUCCCCCAUAAAAGCAGAGGGACUCUGCUACAAGGAAUCCAGAGCCAGGGGAGAAAAACUAAACUUGAUCUUGCUCUUGGGUAUAAAUUGGUUAAUGUUCCCAGAAGGAAAACCUUGUUUCCAGGGACAGAAGUCCAGUGUCUCUAAGGUUCUGCUGCACAGUUGGAAUUCCUUCCUGUUAGGUCUCAAACCCAGUUCAAAGGGCUAAAACUAAGGUGCCUAUUUAACAUAUCAAAGCACACCUGGCUGCCAGGUUCUCCCAGCAUCCCUCAGUCCCUACCUACCUGGUAUGGCUGGCACACCCCACCUCCUACCCUGAACCUCUCCAGCCCAGGGGCUGGGUUGCCCUUGCUUAUAUGACCCAGCCAUCUUGGUUACUUGGCCAUUUACUCUCUUUGCCAUUCGUCCUGGCCACCUUAUUUGGCAGCUUCUCUCUUGCCCUCCUUCCUGCCUCUCUUCUCAUGGUCUGGUUUAGUCAGUUGUCCAUGAUCAGCCUGGACUAUUCCCUCUGCCUGUUUCCCCCUGAAAUCUACAAUAAAAAUAUUAUCCAUACUUUUGGAGUAGUUAUGUUCUCCUCUUAUUUCAUUUUUUUCAUUCACUUACUUCACACAUGGUUACUGUUUCCACCCUCAUGUAGAAUCGGGCUUUAGCAGAAGUCCCCAAGUUAACGUUUUAGCCUGUGUUUCACCUGAACCCUCAGCAGCCUUUGGCAUUGAUGAGUAUCCUAUCUUGUAAUGUUUGUCUGUUGCUUGCCUUCUCAAGUCCCCCCACCCGCCCCCCUCCCCGUGCCCAUCUGGCCAUUUAUAUUCUCAUCCAUCUUAGCCUCCUCUGCUGGCCUCCUUUAUUGGUGUUCCCUCACAUUUUCACUCUGAAAUGCACCCCUCAAAUAUCCAUGACCUACAUGCUAAUGACUUCUAAUCUGUUAAUGCCUCAGGGAGAGAUGGGGUUUGGAGAGCACCUCCCCAUCUGUGCCUAGAUUUGGCUGGAUUCAUCUUGUGCAGGCAAACACUAGAUGCUGUGAGUUCAUGGGUUCUGAAACCUUGUCAAUAUUCUGUAGCAGUUUCCUCCAAGACUAUAAUCUCCCACCUUGCAGUGAAUCUCCUUAAGACAUCAGGUAAACAAUUCAAAACAGCUUCAGGAAGUCCCUGAAACUGAACACAUUCAGUAGGCCCUUUCUUCACAAGAGUGAACACUCCAAGUAGCCUAGAGUGACUCUCUGACAAAGCAUGCUGCAAAGAAGAUUCUGGGACCAGACUGGCUGCUUGGAAGAGAUUUACACCAACUGAGUCACCUGGAAAAGACACUCUAACUCCUCAUCUAUACUCCCGUAGUGAGAGAACAAGAGUGAUUCCCAGGUCACCCAUGGGCAGUCCAUGAAGAUGAGACUCAAGACAAGUGGGCUGGAUCUAGAGUUUGCUGGUUGGAGACUGUGAGAUCAGCCCCUGGGGAACUGUACUUCAUCUGCAUUCUUAUGGCCAGUUGACUUCCUUUGGCCAAUGGAAGAAGUCCUUUCAGAAUAGAAGCAUUAAACUCUGGAAGCUCCACUUUCCACUCCUGGUUUUCCUUUGCCCGGUGAUUUUCAACACUAUGUGGUGAGAUACUGUGACAUCGUAUGAUAGGCGGUGCAAGAGGAACCUUGAAAUAUUUAUCUACUCAGAUAGUGGAGCUCUUUCUCAUUUCAUCUGAACUUAACCUGUCUUCCUGAUAUAAUAGAAGGUCUUAUAGUAAGGAUGUAUUUUUGGUGAAUACAGUGAGAG